This 686-nucleotide ribosomal RNA is filed under the name uncultured bacterium. Its description in RNAcentral is "bacterial SSU rRNA". It matches the Rfam family "Bacterial small subunit ribosomal RNA", at positions 32 to 715 of the family's 1533-position model. The record is from RNAcentral.
AACGCUAGCUACAGGCUUAACACAUGCAAGUCGAGGGGCAUCAGGGUAGCAAUACCGCUGGCGACCGGCGCACGGGUGAGUAACACGUAUCCAACCUACCGUUAACUCGGGGAUAGCCUUUCGAAAGAAAGAUUAAUACCCGAUAGUAUAUUUUCUUCGCAUGUUGAAAAUAUUAAAGAAUUUCGGUUAUCGAUGGGGAUGCGUUCCAUUAGGCAGUUGGCGGGGUAACGGCCCACCAAACCUACGAUGGAUAGGGGUUCUGAGAGGAAGGUCCCCCACAUUGGAACUGAGACACGGUCCAAACUCCUACGGGAGGCAGCAGUGAGGAAUAUUGGUCAAUGGACGAAGGUCUGAACCAGCCAAGUAGCGUGAAGGAUGACUGCCCUAUGGGUUGUAAACUUCUUUUAUAUGGGAAUAAAGCUCUCCACGUGUGGAGUUUUGUAUGUACCAUUAUGAAUAAGCAUCGGCUAACUCCGUGCCAGCAGCCGCGGUAAUACGGAGGAUGCGAGCGUUAUCCGGAUUUAUUGGGUUUAAAGGGAGCGUAGGUGGACUGGUAAGUCAGUUGUGAAAGUUUGCGGCUCAACCGUAAAAUUGCAGUUGAUACUGUCAGUCUUGAGUACAGUAGAGGUGGGCGGAAUUCGUGGUGUAGCGGUGAAAUGCUUAGAUAUCACGAAGAACUCCGAUUG